This 292-nucleotide ribosomal RNA is filed under the name uncultured bacterium. Its description in RNAcentral is "partial 16S ribosomal RNA". It matches the Rfam family "Bacterial small subunit ribosomal RNA", at positions 505 to 796 of the family's 1533-position model. The record is from RNAcentral.
GUGUCAGCAGCCGCGGUAAGACGAACCGUGCGAACGUUGUUCGGAAUCACUGGGCUUAAAGGGCGCGUAGGCGGGCGAUCAAGUCCGGGGUGAAAGCUUUCGGCUCAACCGGAAAAGGGCCUCGGAUACUGAUCGCCUUGAGGGAGGUAGGGGCAAGCGGAACUUCCGGUGGAGCGGUGAAAUGCGUUGAUAUCGGAAGGAACGCCGGUGGCGAAAGCGGCUUGCUGGACCUCUGCUGACGCUGAGGCGCGAAAGCCAGGGGAGCGAACGGGAUUAGAAACCCCCGUAGUCC